Long non-coding RNA from Pecten maximus, 927 nucleotides. RefSeq lists it as uncharacterized. NCBI's taxonomy places the organism in Eukaryota, Metazoa, Mollusca, Bivalvia, Pectinida, Pectinidae. The record is from RefSeq and is a predicted model, not a curated record. The transcript is spliced from 4 exons.
CAGACCACUAACUAGCUGUCUAUAGGUCUGUAUAAGUAUGUGUCACACCAAGGUCAUAACGACCUACAGACCACUAACUAGCUGUCUAUAGGUCUGUAUAAGUAUGUGUCACACCAAGGUCAUUACGAUCUACAGACCACUAACUAGAAUGUGUCACACCAAGGUCAUUACGAUCUACAGACCACUAACUAGCUGUCUAUAGGUCUGUAUAAGUAUGUGUCACACCAAGGUCAUAACGACCUACAGACCACUAACUAGUAUGUGUCACACCAAGGUCAUAACGACCUACAGACCACUAACUAGUAUGUGUCACACCAAGGUCAUUACGACCUACAGACCACUAACUAGCUGUCUAUAGGUCUGUAUAAGUAUGUGUCACACCAAGGUCAUAACGACCUACAGACCACUAACUAGUAUGUGUCACACCAAGGUCAUAACGACCUACAGACCACUAACUAGUAUGUGUCACACCAAGGUCAUUACGAUCUACAGACCACUAACUAGCUGUCUAUAGGUCUGUAUAAGUAUGUGUCACACCAAGGUCAUUACGAUCUACAGACCACUAACUAGCUGUCUAUAGGUCUGUAUAAGUAUGUGUCACACCAAGGUCAUUACGAUCUACAGACCACUAACUAGUAUGUGUCACACCAAGGUCAUUACGAUCUACAGACCACUAACUAGUAUGUGUCACACCAAGGUCAUAACAAUCUACAGACCACUAACUAGUAUGUGUCACACCAAGGUCAUAACUAUCUACAGACCACUAACUAGUAUGUGUCACACCAAGGUCAUUACGAUCUACAGACCACUAACUAGCUGUCUAUAGGUCUGUAUAAGUAUGUGUCACACCAAGGUCAUAACGACCUACAGACCACUAACUAGCUGUCUAUAGGUCUGUAUAAGUAUGUGUCACACCAAGGUCAUUAC